UGUUGCCCAAGGUGACAAGCCAAGAGGGGGGGGGGGUGAAUUGGUUUCUUCUAAAUUUUGGUGCUUUAAAUGUUUUCUUAAUUAAGUGCGGUGGAUGCUUCCUUAAACUAUUUGAAUGAUUUAAACUAGUGCAAAGAUAGAAGAUGAUGCAAGAAUAAACGUAAGCACAAGCACAACACAAACACAACAAUAUAUAGUGGUUCGGUGCUCUCCUUAGCACCUACGUCCACUCCCCAAGCGUCCCCUUGGAAAUUCACUAUAAUCCCGCGGAUUACAGUUGGAUUGUUUUCCGGGCUCACAAUCCAAAAACCUUUGUUGGUUUUACGGGCUCACCAACGAACCUAUACACUUGGUUUUCCGGGUUCACCAAAAACCUUUGUUGGUUUUGCGGGCUCACC
Molecule: long non-coding RNA, 398 nt
Filed under: Phoenix dactylifera (date palm)
Lineage: Eukaryota; Viridiplantae; Streptophyta; Magnoliopsida; Arecales; Arecaceae
Description: long non-coding RNA (PDAC_LNC021557)
Source: RNAcentral